This 253-nucleotide ribosomal RNA is filed under the name uncultured bacterium. RNAcentral describes it as "partial 16S ribosomal RNA". It matches the Rfam family "Bacterial small subunit ribosomal RNA", at positions 524 to 776 of the family's 1533-position model. The record is from RNAcentral.
UACGUAGGGGGCUAGCGUUGUCCGGAAUCAUUGGGCGUAAAGAGCGUGUAGGCGGUCCGGUAAGUCCGCUGUGAAAGUCGGGGGCUCAACCCUCGAAUGCCGGUGGAUACUGUCGGGCUUGAGUACGGAAGAGGCGAGUGGAAUUCCUGGUGUAGCGGUGAAAUGCGCAGAUAUCAGGAGGAACACCAAUUGCGAAGGCAGCUCGCUGGGACGUUACUGACGCUGAGGCGCGAAAGCGUGGGGAGCAAACAGG